GGUUAUGUCUCCUCACCGCUAUCAACGGAGACACUCGACCAUGCCGUGGGUGGGACAGGACCCCUAACCUUAGACGCCAGUCGUCAUUGGUGUGGUGUGAGGGCGGGUUGGAUGCCC
RNAcentral lists this non-coding RNA (117 nucleotides) under uncultured Siminovitchia sp. Its description in RNAcentral is "epsC RNA". It matches the Rfam family "epsC RNA". Lineage: Bacteria; Bacillati; Bacillota; Bacilli; Caryophanales; Bacillaceae. The record is from RNAcentral.